CGGCAACAACAACAAGGGCAGCCAGUCUGUGGAUGCCCUGCACUGGUCCACCGCGUGGCCAACGCCACGGCCACCGAGGUUCGAGCCAAACACAACCAUUUUAUCUCCCUCGGUUACUACGGCGACCACACUGGCCUGAGCUGCUUCAGUCCUGUGCUAAACAUCAUGAGGCAUCCACUCUGGGGCAGGAACCAGGAGACGUACGGGGAGGACCCCUUCCUGACCGGAGAGCUGGCUGUGGCGUUUGUGACGGGGCUGCAGGGGGACCACCCCCGGUACGUCAAGGCCAGUGCUGGCUGCAAGCACUUCGAUGCCCAUGGGGGACCGGAGAAUAUUCCCUCGUCCCGGCUGUCGUUUAAUGCCAAGGUGGAGGAGCGCGACUGGCGCAUGACCUUUCUGCCCCAGUUCGAAGCUUGCGUCCGAGCAGGAACCCUCAGCUUCAUGUGCAGCUACAACAGGUGAGUCGUCCCCAGCUCUGCCCCAANUCUGGGAGGGAACGGGGU
Molecule: long non-coding RNA, 503 nt
Filed under: Salvator merianae (Argentine black and white tegu)
Lineage: Eukaryota; Metazoa; Chordata; Lepidosauria; Squamata; Teiidae
Description: lncRNA (ENSSMRG00000011670.1)
Source: RNAcentral